Molecule: transfer RNA, 94 nt
Filed under: Nocardioides deserti
Lineage: Bacteria; Bacillati; Actinomycetota; Actinomycetes; Propionibacteriales; Nocardioidaceae
Description: tRNA-Arg
Source: RNAcentral
CGGUCGAUGGAGCACGGCAUGCUCACCCCGGUCUUCGGCACCGCCCAGCCCCUGCACGGGCUGUCCGGCGUGGUCCGGCGCUACGCCUACCGAC